UACGUAGGGUGCAAGCGUUACUCGGAAUUACUGGGCGUAAAGCGUGCGCAGGCGGUUAUGCAAGACAGAUUUGAAAUCCCCGGGCUUAACCUGGGAACCGCAUUUGUGACUGCAUAGCUGGAGUACGGCAGAGGGGGAUGGAAUUCCGCGUGUAGCAGUGAAAUGCGUAGAUAUGCGGAGGAACACCGAUGGCGAAGGCAGUCCCCUGGGCCUGUACUGACGCUCAUGCACGAAAGCGUGGGGAGCAAACAGG
This 253-nucleotide ribosomal RNA is filed under the name uncultured bacterium. RNAcentral describes it as "partial 16S ribosomal RNA". It matches the Rfam family "Bacterial small subunit ribosomal RNA", at positions 524 to 776 of the family's 1533-position model. The record is from RNAcentral.